This 493-nucleotide ribosomal RNA is filed under the name uncultured bacterium. Its description in RNAcentral is "partial 16S ribosomal RNA". It matches the Rfam family "Bacterial small subunit ribosomal RNA", at positions 30 to 523 of the family's 1533-position model. The record is from RNAcentral.
AUUGAACGCUGGCGGCAUGCCUUACACAUGCAAGUCGAACGGUAACAGGUUAAGCUGACGAGUGGCGAACGGGUGAGUAAUAUAUCGGAACGUGCCCAGUCGUGGGGGAUAACUGCUCGAAAGAGCAGCUAAUACCGCAUACGACCCGAGGGUGAAAGCGGGGGAUCGCACGACCUCGCGCGAUUGGAGCGGCCGAUAUCAGAUUAGGUAGUUGGUGGGGUAAAGGCCCACCAAGCCAACGAUCUGUAGCUGGUCUGAGAGGACGACCAGCCACACUGGGACUGAGACACGGCCCAGACUCCUACGGGAGGCAGCAGUGGGGAAUUUUGGACAAUGGGCGCAAGCCUGAUCCAGCCAUGCCGCGUGCGGGAAGAAGGCCUUCGGGUUGUAAACCGCUUUUGUCAGGGAAGAAAAGGUUCUGGUUAAUACCUGGGACUCAUGACGGUACCUGAAGAAUAAGCACCGGCUAACUACGUGCCAGCAGCCGCCGUAA